GCCAGUGAGGAAUUUGCAGCCGGCUAAGUGGCACGGAGGGGUCUUGGGGGUUAUUGAGGGUUCGGGGUGGCGAGCUGGGAGUUGGGGAGCUGGGGAGUUGCUGUUCUGGAACAAAAAUCCUCUGCAUGCACAAUUUAAGCAGGAUUUAUGGCUGGCAAUAUUGCGAAAAGGAAGAUUUUCCCAGCAUUCUUGGUGAGUGUGUGAGUGUGCGUGAGGAGCGGGGAAAGGGGAUUGCCGGGGCACUGAAGCGACCAGUUCGUCGAUUGUGCGUGAGGGAAAUUAAAUUGCCAAAUGGCCAUUACCUUGGCGUACAAGGGUUAAGAAAGCUUUUGAGGUUAUGAAAAUUGCUAAAUUAUGUUAAUGCCUCCCCCUAUCUCACUUCCCUUUAUUUUUGGCUGGGUGUGAAUAUUGAAAGAUUUCUCAGCCAUUCGGCUCGCAUCUUUAAUGCAUAUAUUACCACCCUCUACACCCGAAUCAUCCCACAAUCAUUAUGCCCGUUGUCGUCGAAAUUGAUUGAGGAAUUGCCAACCGGGUCAAAGUGUCUGUGUGAGUCGCCUAAAAGCUGCACUGGCCGAAAACUGUAAUAAAGGGCAAGCUUGAUGUUAUCUUAAACGUUUAUAAGAUUUAAAGUGAGUUGACUCGCAUUAUACAAUUCGUUCAUAAAUAUUUCGUACUUCAAUAUAUAUAUAUAUAACUAUCCAAACACUUUUUUAUUGUUUCUCUCUGUGUAGGAGAAGAAGGAAUCUAAGGGUUCCACAUUUCUUUUGCACUUUAACUCGACUUGGGGCCAGGCAACCUGUCUUUGUUCGGUGACCCCUUUCUGUCCCGAGCUCAUGCAAAAGUUAUUGCUUUAGACACAACAAUGGCAACCCUGGCGGAGACAACGGCAUACAUGAGCAUUGUGUCAUGCUGCGUUGUGUUGUGCGGCUCUAAAUAUUUAAUAUAAAUCGUUGCCAUCGGCACUUGCCUGGUGACUAUGGAGCGGAUCAGAGGAGGGGCACUAAGUCAGGUUGUGCCUGAUUCAAUUUUCUUUUGCCAGCUUUGGCACAGAUUUAUCGCUUAUUAGAAAACACACUGGUGUCGGGAGAAGCAGAGCAGCUUAAGUCCCAAAAACAGAUGAUUAAGAACGGAAUCCAUUUCAUUCCACUAUCAUUGGCUAUUUCACAGGUGCCAGUGAACUUUUGCCGGUGUGCUACAUUACAUUUCUUAACAAUAAAAAUUAAAGUUGGCCAUAACGAGGCAGCUCCGACGCCGUUCGCUGAAAUUUCUAAGUCAAAAGCAGGCACUAUUAGGUAACACAUUCAUAAACUUAUUCCUGCUGCAUGCACAAACGAAUGACCAGAAUUGACAGGCCCAGCUUCUUCCAGCAAUAUCCAUCCAUCCUUGUGCAGGGACGAGGCAUUUGAAUAAAAUAAAUCCAGCCUGACAGUCCAUCGCCAGCGUCCAAGACCUUUUAUUUUUAUCAUAAACAUAAAAAAGUUCCGACUUCCUUGCCCAUUUGCCACAACCCAUUUCCCAUUUUCCAUUUCUUGUUCGCCGUCGUUUAGGCCAUUGAAAAGUUAAGUCGCGUAAUCGAUUGAUUUGCCUCGGCGGUGAUUUCAUUUUACGUUUUCAAGGUACGUCGAGGGCUAUAAAGUUUUGCCUUUUCUCCCGUCGACGUCCUCCGCCAAGCCUUUGUGCUCGAAAUUGAGAUUUAUUGCAGAAUUUGAAUUAUAAUGCAAUUUAUAAUAUAAAAUGGCAGCCGCCUCCGAGAUAUUGAGCAUGAUAAUGAUGAUGAAGCUGUGCAAGGGUUUCAUCGCCAACCAAGUUCUGGCGAGACGGUGAGUUGAGCUGAACUCGUCUUGGUCUUUUGUUGCUAAUAUUGUUGAUUCAAUUUGACUUCUGCUGCAAGGAUAGCCGGCAUUGUUCGCUCUGCCAUCGCUUACAUUAUCUGCUACACAAAAGCCGGUGAAAAUCGUUGGGAUUUGAAGACGUAUUAAAAUGACAAGCACUCUGAAUUAAUUUUGCAUUGCCGGGCGAAGGCUUCAGUUUAUGCCUGGGGCUAUUUGGGUGAGUGUUUUCGUGGUGGCAAGCGAAGGAACGCAUAAAUCAGCUUGGAGAGAUAACACUUCCAUAGGCGGCCCUUGCACAGGUACCAAUUCCAAGAAAAACCGGCAGUCAAAAUAUUUUUCCAGUAGCCUGGCAACGACGAAAAACAGAAGAAUAUUUAACUGAAAACACUCAUUUCCUGUAGUUAAUUGCACAUUUUCUAAACUUGCAAACUAUCAAACAGCAACAACGAGACCGAAAACAAAAACAGCUCCUGAGGCUGAAGUUUGCUCUUGGUCGGAGCUUUUCGGUCGGUUGCUGUGAGAAUUCAAUAUGUAAUUUUGAUUGAAAUAUGCCUGUUUGCCAAGCCCACACACCCAAGAAAACACAAACACAGAGACACGCUGAUCCAGGAAAACACAGCAGACAAGUCCUUGUGUUGGGAAACGAAUAACUUUUUAGUUGGCCCAAAUGCACUGGCAGAAAUCAGAUUGACCUGCAACAAAUUCCGCCCGCUGUCCUCCAUGCCGCAUUUCUCGCAGUGUAUUCCGGCGUCUAAUGAAGUGUAUGCGUUUGGCAGACAAGCUGACACCCCAUCCCAUCUCCUCCGACCAAGCCUAUAUUGCGUAUGUGCUAAGCCUGGCUGCUCAGCCCGAGUUGAACCUCCGUCGACCUGCGCCCUACGCCCUGCGUCCUUCAUCCUGGCUGUGCGGGCUUCACUGACAGAGAAAGCGCUGGGCGGAGAAAGUGUGAGGAGCGAGGGAAGACAGCUGCAUAGAAGCAACAACGCAAAGUAAAAGGCCCCACAGGGAAUCGUUAUGCGAGCUGGUGGAUAAGGACGAACUGGGGUGGCCGGUCGGAGCGUUGCAGUCAAAAACAAUGCAGGCAAAAAAGUUGCGGCAAAAUUGUUGUGCCGCUCUGGCUGAAAAAAAGGAGGUGCGGGGGACAUUGGAGUAGAAGAAAGCCAACUGAAAAGUUUAAGUAGAAGUAAGUACAAAACUAUUUUGUAAACACGCACACACCAGCAGAUCAGCAUGCAUGCAACACUCGAAAGUUUCAAAAUGAAGUGCAGCGUAGGUAGGGCCAGUAACGAGUGUCGAGUCCCGGAGUCCUUUACGGCCGGAGUCCUGGAACCCUUCAGCCUGACAGCCGGUGGCACUAGCAGGCAAUUCAAAACGUCAGUCAGGGGCCCAAACCCUCCCAGGAAAGGGGCAACUUAAUAACGGGGGAACUACAUAUAAACUUUAACGGUUAUUGGAAAGAAGGUGAACGAAGAUGUAUGCAUUGUAAAUACGUACAUCACUACAAGAAAUGUACCCAUUUAAUUAUUACUAAUGACAUUUAUCUUAAAAUCGUCCUCACAGAGAUACAUUUUAAAUGCGAUCGAGAAAUGGUGGGAACACGAAGCAGUAUGGUUGGGAGCUAAUCUAACGUGUUCUAAGUAAGAAUUGUUCGGUUAAUUUUUGAAGUAGUUGAUGUUUAGCAGAUGACUUAGUGCAUAUAACCUAGUACCACUGGACAGCUGGAGGCGUUUCUUAACUCGCUUUAAAGGCGGCUGUGGUGCCUUUCUUUGAGUCCUCGUUCGCGGGAAUAAAUAUCAAUUUGUAACAAUAGGACACUCGAGUUACUUACACUUAAAAUGUUACAUGCUGAAAAAGAAUAUAAGAAACAGUGCUACUUUUUGGAAAAAUGUUCCAAAAGUUCAGGCGGUUUGUUGUCGACUAUAGCGUUCUCUCUUGUUUAUUUCUCAAAAAGGUAGUAAGUAGUGUAGUAGUAGGAAUGGCAUUGUUUGUGGAGUAAGUUUUUUUUUUUGAAAGUUAAGUAUUUUACUUAAGCCAUUGGUAUUGUAUUUGCCUGAUUACAGCGCAUCCUUAUUUUAUAACGGAGACCCUUUACGUGUAAAGCCUUUUUGCUGAACUUUCGACUCCUAAGAGAGGGAUCCUGUAAACACAUUUGCAUAACUUAAUAUUGGUUCAAAGGGUUUAGCAAGGAGACGGUCUAGACGGACGAGUAAAUCCUGGUGCUCAGCUUCCAGAGCUUCGAUUUGCCCUUUUCUGCCUGCCGUGGCCGACAUUAGGCCUCUUAGAGACAGAAAUUGAGACCCAGGGACUGCACAUUUUAUUAUAAUUCAUAAGGCGUGUAGAUGGGAAUCAAAAGAGCGUCUGACAACUUACGGAGCCAACGGACCCAGGUUGGCAACUAAACGCAGCCGAGGAGGAAAAGGAAUCUAGUAAAAUAGUAAACUUUUUAUCAAGUCAAUUUUCUACGUUGACUGCAAACCACAACGGCAAGAUUUGCAGACAGGCCAAUGACAUAGCCAAGAAACUGCAUGAAACUUUUGCUGUCAUGUUUCCUUGUCCUCCAUUCAGCCUCAGUCCUGUUUUGGUCGGAUCAGACCAGACGGCGACUCCGACCUUUGCUGCCACAUUUUCGUUCCUUCGGCACUCGAUUUUUAUUCAAUUUCUGCUGGUGCUCCUCGAUUCCAGCUCAAUAAGCUGGAGCCAAGCCCGCCGGAUUAGAGUCCUGGGAGCUUCUGCGCUGGGAAUUGGGGAGUCCUUGAAGCAAAUUAUUAUUCAUUGCAGUGGGAGUUUACAUAAAUUACGCAUCAGGCGGCGUCCUGGCCAAUGGUCAAAUUGAUUCCCUUUAAAAGGACUUUUCUUUCUGCCAUAGAGUAAAACAAGAAUUUCAUUCUGCGUUUGACAUCUCUGUUGGCAGCUCUCCUUAGCCUGGAAACCUGUCAGUUAUUCAGUUAGCAGUUACCAGUUAGCAGCUAGCAGUCAGCAUUUUGCCACUGCUCAGCAGGUGCUGAGGUGCCAGGCGUUUGGGUCACAGACAGGAGCUCCUGUCAACUUCGGGGAAAGGGUACUGCUGGUCAGCCACUCGCAGUCUUCAGACUCCAAGUGUUGUGUCUGACAAUUGCCUCCGGUUGACUUUUUCACCUGGCCCCGGAAUUGUUUCAUAGUGUACGUUGCAGACGAGACUGCUAGAAAUAGGAAAAUCCGGAAGCACUGUUGCUGCUUACUUUUCCCAAGAAAAUUGCAGUCCCGCAGCAUUAACUUACAAUAACGCUGCGGGUGAGAGAAUAAAGAACGAUUUAAACGAAAUCCGUAAAGUGUGUCAAUGAGGUCGACGUGCGUUCGGAUGACAACUUGUUUGACAUAAUUCAAUACGCAGUUGGCAUCGCGUCCCUUCUUGACAGCAAUUAAAAACGCAUUUCCAUCGUAAUGCGAUAUCGGGGAACACGGGUGCCACACGGAAGAGAGGUCUCGCAAUUUGAGCUGCUCAACGCGCUUCCGAAGGGCUUAAAGUAAUAUACCCACAAGAGAGCCUGGCAGACAGCCAGGAUGAAGUUACCCUUGCCCUCACCCGGCCACCAAGGUUUAAAACAAAUAAUUGCAAAUAAAUGAUGUUCAUUGAAGGGAACAAUGAGAUGCAUUGACACUGGCGCGCACUGUCAGCUUCAUCGCAUCAGCAUCAGCAGCCCACGCUGCCCUUAAAUAUGAAAAUUAAAAUUACAAAAUGCACAAAUUGCAGCGACGUGGAGCGAGGUGAAGUGCAGCGAAAAUCAUAUUAAUAAAAAUAAUGAGUUUGCCGCUUCCUCUUUGGCAGCGGCUCCUGCGGAAGCGGCUUGAAAACCCGAUUAAAAAUUGAGCAGCGAGCAAGGACGUUAAGUAGAAAUGUCAAUAUGACAGCUGUCAUCCGACCAAAUGAGCGCGCGAGCUGAUGAGGGAUUUCACUUGAUGCCAAACGGCGGUGUAUGAAUUGCAUACGGGUUUAUUUGCUAAUACUUUUCAUUAUGCCUUCGAGAAGGUUUCAAGCGAUCACAAAUGUGGUGUGGCAAUGGGAGUAUAAUAGUCUAAAGGAUAAGCCAUUAACCCAGAACUGCCCAUUCUUACUAUUAUUUACAAAAUUCGGUAAUUAGCUGAGCUUUGCUUUCAGCAUUAUGGUUUUCUGUACGCAGCACCAGAGAAUUUCCUAUGUCGGAGCUGGAAGCUUAAUCUAUUAUUGCAGGAAUUAUGAUGCCGGCCAAUUCAGUUUGACUUAUUGAGCGGAAAAUGUUCAAUUACUAGAGUUUUAAGUCCGCAACAGCACAGAUUCAGGCAGCGAGAAAGGAGAGAGCAAUUUAAAUUAAACAUAAAUACAAGUUGGGUUAAGCGGGAGCUCAAAUGAACAGAUAGCGGGUGGAAAUCGCAGGUCCCUGGAGGACCGCCCUUCCGAUGACACUCCUUGCGACACGCCCCGUAAACUUUAUGGCAGUCAAUAAAUUACUUGGGACAAAAGCAAAUUAUUUUUUAAUUUCAGCUAACCACGCGUGGAAUCGCCUAUCUAUCUGGGACGUCGGCGAGGAACAAUCGACGGACGUUUGACAUUGAUUAGUUUUCGUGGAAUUUUUAAUACAUAUUUUUCCAAGGUGGCAAUCAGUUGCCCUUUUUGGCCCGCUGCAGCUCAGACGCCAGUCCAUUAGGCGGCCACGCUUCAUUUACUCAUUUCGUGCAAUUUCUUAAUAUCAAUUUUCUUUUGAUUUUCGGUCGUCGACUUGCCAGACACGCAAUCCCCUACACUGCCCUAAGGAAUCUCCCACACGCACACCCGAGUCCUGCGACUGCUGCUCCGUUGUCCUGUUCUGACAGCGAGUAAUUCGUUGUCGUUUGUGCUGGUCCCAACUUCCGCAGCUGACUUUUGUUGACUCCUCAGUUGUGGCAGCACGUGAGGUCUUUUGCGCUACUUUUGGACUUUUCAAGGUGCUGCUUGGCAGUGCCCGGUGUCAUUAGCAGCAUUUCUAGUAUCGAAUGGGAUAUCCCUUAACAUAUUUAAAUAUAAAAACUUUAAUUUCGACCAAAUAAGACAAUUUAAUAUACGUGUAAUAGAAAUUCGUUUUAAUAUUAUAAUUACUAACGUAUCUAAACCUGCGUCACUCAUAGUAUUUGCAUGCCUCUUGCAUGCCUCUACCAUCUACAGCCAAGAGCGGCAAUCAGUCUGGGAAUCAAAUGACCGAAAAUCGAAUAUCUGAAGGCCUCGGUAAGCACUUAAGUGCUACACAUAGCGGAGCCAAACGCGAAAACCAAACCCACGUCUAAUUUGCAAGCCUUUUUUAUUAAAAGCGCAAUAUUCGACACGGGUCUUUUUUCCGAUAGGGCUCUGCUGACUAGAACCUUUACGUAUAGUGGACAGUCUGCAACCGAUUUCCCAUUUCUAAAGCCCAUUUGUUUGUUGUGACAAACCACCAUAGUCUUCAGCAACUAUCUUAUCUAGUUUUUUGGAUAUAGAGAGGUUAAGCGUUAUGGGUCGGUAGGAAUUAAGAGUUGACUUGUUUUUUUGUAGAUGGGGAUUAUGGUGCUAGUCUCGUACAUGUUGGAAUUCGGGAUUGCAAGAUACUAUUGAAGAGGUAUUUUACUCAUAAUAUUCAGUUAUUUGAGGUGUGUUUCGUCAUUGUGUAAUUUUGUAAUUGUCUAAUUGAGUUCCAGGAACUCUGCAUUUUUAUAUGGCAAAUCAUAUUCGUUCAUCAAUUUUAGCUUGUUGAAUGUUAUUUGAAAAGUUUUUAUCCUCCGAGCGAGUAUACAACGCUUGAAAACGGCGUUUGCUAUUUUUUCCUGAUCUGUGACAAAAGAGUUUACAUAGGGAUCAUGGAUAAAAUUGAACGCUUUUGCAUUAUGUAAGCCACAAAUUGUUUCACAUUUUGUUGUGGGGGGAAAUGCUGGAAAUAAGUUUGUCUAUUUUUUAUUUAUUUCCCUUCUAUACUGCGCGUUAAUACGUUUGAAAUUGAUGUGUUUUUCAUUGUUAAUGUUCCUGUUAAUUUUUCUCCAGACUUUGUUUUUACUCUUUUUUAUUAAAUGUAGUUUAUUGUUCCACCAGAGAACGUUGAAUGGCUUUUCAGGUGUUUGAGUUCGGGGAUUGCUCUCUCUCACUUAUCGCGGGAGGACUAACAACAAAAUCUCAAACAUCGAGGGGGACUUUAAAGCUGACCAAUUGUUUUGGCAAAGCCCUUUCUUUUAAGGCUUCUUAGAGGCCUGGCAGGGAGUGAGCGUUUUGCCAGCAUGCUGUGGUGUCUUUUAAGCCGAUCACUAUAUCUGCUUGUGUGCCUUGAGAUUUGCUCCUUCACUGUGUGCAGAUUCAGGUCCCGAUGAAGGGUUGAGCCACGUACGUAAUAUGGGCAGUUGGCGAUGGCACGCAUUGCACGAUUUUGCAAGUUCUCUAUGCGUUUAUAGUUGGAUUUUGCAGCAAUACCCUAUACAGUGGACGUAGACUGCCCUUUUGGCUCUAAGUGUCAUGGUGCUUCUUCUAUUGAUCAACCAUCGUAGUUGUUGCAUUCUCUGGCCGCAUCUCCGAGCCGUAGCUUUUAAGUGUAAGUUAAAGGUCAACCGUUUGUCGAGAGUAAUCCCGAGGUAUUUAGCCUGCAGAGGUUGUUCUGGGAGAGUACUGCAGAGAGUUCUCCAGAGUAGGCCUAUAUGGCAGACUCUGUCAAAUGCUUGCUGCAUAUCAAUGAAUACAGCGUUGCAGUAUUCCAAGUCGUCAAACGCUUGUAGAAUGUGCUUAACCAAUCUGUAAACCUGCUCCACAGUGCUGUGCCCCUGCCGAAAUCUAAACUGGUGAUCUGGGAGGAUACGGCGCUCCUUAAUAAAGUCACCUAGUCUGUUGGCAAUCAGCCUUUCCCAUAUCUGGGAUAGCGAAGACAAAAGACUUAUGGGCCGAUACGAUUCCGGAUCCUCUUCAGGUUUCCCAGGUUUGUGUAUCAUAAGAAUUGCUGCCAUUUUCCACUGCUUUGGAAAGACUGCACCCUAAAUAUGGCGUUAAAUAUUUUCGCUUUGUACAUAUAUAAAAGCUCGGAGAGGUAGCGCUUUUAGCGUGGCAUUGCAGAUAUUGUCGAUGCCAGGAGUCUUCUUUAUUGGCGUUGAUUUAAUGACUUUGACAAUUUCCUCAACCCUGAUUGGUUUGAUAGGUAGCGGCAUUAGUAGGGGUAUCUCUAAGCUGUCAAGCGUCUCUCAAUUCUGCUCUGUUGUAGCAAAUUGGUAAUGGUAGAACCUAGUCUCCAAAUGAUUUGCAAAGAAAUUGGCCGGUUCCUCUUCAUUUUUAGCAAGUUCACCUCCCGGACAUCUAAUGGGAACCUGUCUGAACGGUUGUCUCUUAAGGGAUUUGGUGGACUUCCAGAGCCAGCUUUUGCUCAAAAAAGAUACGUUGAUCCUUAUCUGGCUACUUACAAAUAUACAUUACGCUUAUAUUUUACAUACAAACUAAUUAACAAGAUUUUUUUAAACUUAAGCCUAUCAGCUACUCAACUAAAGCGAAUGCUUUCAGUAAGAGAGUUAAUUGGGCGCAAAAUGGGUUCAUUUCCCGCAUAAACUAUCCUGACAGUGAUUUCAUUAAAUGGGACCAAAGUGCGUAGACUUCUUACCAGAAUAUUGAUAUUAAUUAACCCGAAAAUAUAAGACUAUCAAUGUUUCCGUUCCGUCAUUAUCAAAUAGCAGCCCAGCAAUCGAACGUAAUCCUCAAAUGAUCAGGUAUAGACGAGGCAGCAUUGGAUGAGAUAUGGAGGACGCGGAUCAGAGAAAUGCAGAGAAAUCAGAGUACUCAGAUAGACGCUAGUAUGCAUCUCUAAACUGCGCGGUAUUUUGCAUAACAAACACAAACAUUGCAUACGCCUUCAGAAGAAUAUAAUUCAAAUGCGCAGAAAACUGGGAUUUCCUAUCAAAAAGAACUCCCAGGUCCAAAAUCUUACAUAACAAGGACACAGUUCAUUCUUUAUGAAGUAAGAAGAAGCAAUUGUUGACAAACAUUUGCUUUAUGAAUGGAAUUAUUAUGGAAUUUCAGCAGACAUUUUUCCUGUUAGUAGUUCGUAUUUUUUCCAAUUUCCUAAUUUCGUAAUUAAAGUUCAUGUGAACAAAAUACAAGGUCGAUUUGGAUGAAUGAACUGUGUGUUGAAAAGUGUGUUGGUUUCCCAUUGUUCAGAAUCACAUAAUUACUGUUUAGCUAAAAUAAUUCUUUGGUUAUCCCCAUAGCGUAUUCCAGCUGUGAUUAACGAUUGGACGCUAGAGGCUGGGAACAUUGUUUCUAGGUCUCCUUGUGAGAAAUAUUUGUUUGAUUAUUUUUUUUUUUUGAUUCGACUUUGAGGGCAAUCGCUUUGAAAGUGUUUCCAGUAUGGAUCUGGUCAUGUCGAUCUGGUCAUGUCUGUCCGUAUGAACGUCGAGAUCUCAGAAGCUAUAAAUGCCACGCCCACUUCAACGGCCCCAAACCUCCCAAAUCUGCCACGCCCAAACUUUUAAAAAAUGUUUUGAUUUUAUUUUCAUUUUGUUAUUAGUCUUGUAAAAAUUAAUUUUAUUGUGGUGUUUUGUAAUUUCCAUCGAUAUGGCAGGAAUAUGUUAACAUUUCUCGUUCGCAUUCACUUUACAUGAGUAACGGGUACGUGAUAGUCUGUGAACUCGACCACAGAUUAUUACUGGUAUAAAUAUACUUUGAAAGGCUUUCUUCUCUUCAUUCCUUUCGUUUGUAACGAGAAAAAAGUUUGGAAAACUUUUUACAACAAAAAUGUUAACAUAUUUGGGGCCAUAUACAAAUUUUUUACUUCAAACUUCAACUAAACCUGAUUACACUUUGCCUUACCUACACUUUUUCCCACUGUACUGCUAAGCGAUGUUAAUACAAUUAAAAAUACCCAAUUUUGCCUCAGCUCGGCAGAGUCCCUAAGUUACUGACGGAUAUCCAAGGGCCUUUGUUUCUGUUGUCGUGAGUGUGUUUGCUGAUGGCAGGCAGCAUAGUUGUGUCAGGAUGUGGCAUCUUGCCACCGAUGCCGUGAUGCCAUUAGUCGUAAGUGGCGCUUUCCUUCUGAUUUAGGUGGCAUUUGACUUUAUUAACCAAAACUACUCGGAGGCUUCUUGGCCCAGGUGGCUGGGAUUGGGAUGGCCUGUGUAGGGUGUGGGGACCUGUCUACCUGGCAGCAUCGAAAUGGGUCAAUAUGUGUGCGCUCCACUUCGGGGCUCAUGUAAUAUGUAUUCAGUUGGCCGCAGUCGAGUGACAUCCUUGGAGAUUUCGUAGAAAUGAGUGAAGAAGAGGUCCUUGUUUGUAUUUAGGGGUGUUUGCAUUCGGCUUAUGCACGCGAAACCCGUAGGUUUAAGACGCUCCGUCUGGUUGUGACAUUUAUUUGGGCUUUGUUUAUUUAUUUUACUAAUGGAAUUAUUUCCUGCUCCUCUUGUACCCGUUAUCUUAAGAUUUUCUACGGCAGGACGUCAUAUUUUCUUUAUUUUGAUUCAUUAUAAAAAUGUAUUUAUAAUUCUCGUGGUGCCAAGCCAUUAGAUUCUUUUAAUCACUACUUGCCAAAUUGAUGUCGUUAACUUUAACCGUAAAAUUCGCAGCUGCGACUUGUCAAUGUCCCGUAAGAGCAGAAAAAUUAGCAAGCUGCGUUUUUGGAUCUUCUUUGCAUUGUCAAUGUGUCAGCGGCAGGAUAAUCGAAGGAAAAAAGACACAGAUGUCACCACGACGAAAUGCCGAAGGCAUCGUCAGCUGUAAAUCAUGUGAAAUGUACUAAAAUUACAAUGAAGAAGGCACAAGAAGCUCGAUGGAUAAUGUGCAGAAUUGGGGCGUUGCAAGGACAUUAGUGCGCGAUGCCAUUCUGUCGAAUGGAAAGAUGGAAUUGUUAUUUCAGCUUUUGAAUGUCUGUGCCAGAAGGGGUUCUGCUCGUGAUUUUCAUUCACUGACAGUUUUGACAUUUUCCACACUUAAUUCGGUUCUUUUCUUUGGCCUUUAUAUCGGCCACACAAUACACCUGCACUACACACUGAACUGUCGCUUCGAUUCUCAGGCGCAUCUUACAUGUUCCGUCAGCCUCGCAGACCAAAUACAUGCCCCCCAUUGUGUAUUAUUAUUGUAUUUCUAUAAAGGCAGGAAACGGAGGAACAGGAAAGGCUUGGUCCACUCGCAGGCCGAGAACUCCCAGAAAACGUAGUUAAACUCGAGAAAUUGCCAUUGGGUCGAAAUUGAAAGUAAAUUCGUUCCAGUAUCUUCUUCCAUGGCCCCCCACAUUGCUGCAGCACUUUCCAUGGACGCAAGCCUGAGAACAGACAUGUAAAUCAAUUUGUCGAAUCUUUUCUUAUUUUCGAUGUCCUUGUCUGACUUCUCUGGAACCUAGUGGCUGCAGUGAGCUCAAGGAAGAGAUUGAACGACCGGAGUAAAACAAUGAGUUGAAUAAAUGGAGAAGAGCUCUGGGGCGUGGCACUCACUACAUUUUAGAACCAACAAAUGGAGGGCCAGUUUUAAAAUCCAGUAAUCGUAGAAGAAAACUGAUUCAUCCCGGUAAUGUACAAAUUCAAAAUGUUCCAUAUAUCGGAACAUUGCAAUGUAAUAAACCCCAACGAUAUAUAAAAUUUUAAAAAUUAUAUGUGUAUUAUGUAAACAAAUACUUACUUUACUUUAUUUUAUAAAACUGCCAAUAGCGUAUGUUCUAGAAUUAAAUAUUGCUUAAAUAUACCUGAAUUCCAAA
Molecule: long non-coding RNA, 12496 nt
Organism: Drosophila yakuba
Lineage: Eukaryota; Metazoa; Arthropoda; Insecta; Diptera; Drosophilidae
Exons: 2
Source: RefSeq, a predicted model, not a curated record